Molecule: ribosomal RNA, 460 nt
Filed under: uncultured bacterium
Lineage: Bacteria
Description: partial 16S ribosomal RNA
Rfam family: Bacterial small subunit ribosomal RNA
Source: RNAcentral
CCUACGGGAGGCAGCAGUGAGGAAUAUUGGUCAAUGGACGAGAGUCUGAACCAGCCAAGUAGCGUGAAGGAUGACUGCCCUAUGGGUUGUAAACUUCUUUUAUAUGGGAAUAAAAUGUUCCACGUGUGGGAUUUUGUAUGUACCAUAUGAACAAGGAUCGGCUAACUCCGUGCCAGCAGCCGCGGUAAUACGGAGGAUCCGAGCGUUAUCCGGAUUUAUUGGGUUUAAGGGGAGCGUAGGUGGAUUGUUAAGUCAGUUGUGAAAGUUUGCGGCUCAACCGUAAAAUUGCAGUUGAAACUGGCAGUCUUGAGUACAGUAGAGGUGGGCGGAAUUCGUGGUGUAGCGGUGAAAUGCUUAGAUAUCACGAAGAACUCCGAUUGCGAAGGCAGUUCACUGGACUGCAACUGACACUGAGGCUCGAAAGUGUGGGUAUCAAACAGGAUUAGAUACCCUUGUAGUC